CAAAUGAAUUGACGGGGCCGCACAAGCGGUGGAGUAUGUGGUUUAAUUCGAAGCAACGCGAAGAACCUUACCAGGUCUUGACAUACCGGGCAAAGCCCUAGAGAUAGGGAAAUAGUUAUGCCGGAUACAGGUGGUGCAUGGUUGUCGUCAGCUCGUGUCGUGAGAUGUUGGGUUAAGUCCCGCAACGAGCGCAACCCUUGUCCUCAGUUACCAGCAUUGAGUUGGGGACUCUGGAGAGACUGCCGGUGACAAACCGGAGGAAGGUGGGGAUGACGUCAAAUCAUCAUGCCCCUUAUGACCUGGGCUACACACGUACUACAAUGGCGUAUACAACGGGAAGCGAAGUGGUGACACGGAGCAAAUCUCACAAAGUACGUCUCAGUUCAGAUUGAAGUCUGCAACUCGACUUCAUGAAGUCGGAAUCGCUAGUAAUCGCGGAUCAGCAUGCCGCCGGUUGAACCUACGUUCUCGGCCUU
This 476-nucleotide ribosomal RNA is filed under the name uncultured Erysipelothrix sp. Its description in RNAcentral is "bacterial SSU rRNA". It matches the Rfam family "Bacterial small subunit ribosomal RNA", at positions 902 to 1381 of the family's 1533-position model. The record is from RNAcentral. Lineage: Bacteria; Bacillati; Bacillota; Erysipelotrichia; Erysipelotrichales; Erysipelotrichaceae.